RNAcentral lists this ribosomal RNA (482 nucleotides) under uncultured bacterium. RNAcentral's name for it is "partial 16S ribosomal RNA". It matches the Rfam family "Bacterial small subunit ribosomal RNA", at positions 30 to 507 of the family's 1533-position model. The record is from RNAcentral.
AUUAAACGCUGGCGGCAUGCUUUACACAUGCAAGUCGAACGGUAACAGGCCGCAAGGUGCUGACGAGUGGCGAACGGGUGAGUAAUGCAUCGGAACGUGCCCAGUCGUGGGGGAUAACUACUCGAAAGAGUAGCUAAUACCGCAUACGAUCUAUGGAUGAAAGCGGGGGACCGUAAGGCCUCGCGCGAUUUGAGCGGCCGAUGUCAGAUUAGGUAGUUGGUGGGGUAAAGGCUCACCAAGCCAACGAUCUGUAGCUGGUCUGAGAGGACAACCAGCCACACUGGGACUGAGACACGGCCCAGACUCCUACGGGAGGCAGCAGUGGGGAAUUUUGGACAAUGGGCGCAAGCCUGAUCCAGCAAUGCCGCGUGCAGGAAGAAGGCCUUCGGGUUGUAAACUGCUUUUGUACGGAACGAAACGGCUCUGGUUAAUACCCGGGGCUAAUGACGGUACCGUAAGAAUAAGCACCGGCUAACUACGUG